This is a long non-coding RNA of Panicum virgatum (switchgrass), 1470 nucleotides long. RefSeq lists it as uncharacterized. The record is from RefSeq and is a predicted model, not a curated record. Lineage: Eukaryota; Viridiplantae; Streptophyta; Magnoliopsida; Poales; Poaceae. The transcript has 3 exons.
UAAUGUGGUUUACAAAAUAAUUUCUAAGGCAUUGGCAAAUAGGUUGAAAAGGGUCCUUCCAAAUAUCAUAUCCGAAGAGCAAUCAGCAUUUAUCCCUGGAAGAAUUAUUAGUGACAAUAUUCUGGUUGCUUAUGAAUGUCUGCACUUCAUGCGCACGAACCGUUCAAAAAGUAAUGCUUAUUAUGCUUUGAAAUUGGAUAUGAUGAAGGCAUAUGAUAGAGUGGAGUGGAGCUAUCUGGAAGCAAUAAUGCUAAAAUUGGGGUUCGACCGACUUUGGGUGGAUAAAAUUAUGAAAUGUGUAACGACAGCCUCCUUCUCUAUCCUGUUUAAUGGAGAACGACUACAAGAAUUCAAGCCAACUCGAGGUAUUAGACAAGAUGCAAGCAAUGCUCAGUUAGUGCAAGAGUCCCUCACCAAAUAUUGUGACGCUUCAGGCCAAAAGUGAUAUCCUCAGUGCUCCUAUUGGGAAUAAUCCAUCCAAGACCUGGAGAGCCAUAUAUGAUGGAAUAGAGGUGCUGAAACAAGGAUUGAUCAAACGCAUUGGUGAUGGUAAAAGCACACUAAUAUCUGGAUGUAAUUGGAUUCCAAGAACUAGGAUGUUUAGGCCUCUCUAUUCUGAAAAAAGAAACCCUCCAACUUUUGUUUCUGAAUUGAUUGAUCAUACUUCUAUGACAUGGAAAACAGAGGUAGUGCAACAUUUUUUCAAUCAAAUGGACAGUGAAGCAAUAUUGCAGAUCCCAUUAAGUAUGAGUAAACAAGAAGACUGUUGGGCUUGGCACCAUGAAAGAAAUGGUAUAUUUUCUGUGCGCUCAGCAUAUCGAAUGAUGAUUGAAGCAAAGAAGAGUAGAGAUGACUACUUUGAAGGAACGGCAAGCUGCUCUGAUUUUGUUAAAAGACAAAAGGAAUGGAAACAACUAUGGAAUAUGAAAUUGCCAUCUAAAGUCAAAAUAUUCUGUUGGCGUCUUGCUUUGAAUUCAAUUCCAACUGCCAGUAUGCUCAAAGGUAGGAAUAUGUGUGAUACAGCUGAAUGCAAACUCUGCGGUGCAGAUGAGGACACAUGGGACCAUGCAUUGCUGCAUUGCUCAAUGUCUAAAUGUGUUUGGGCUCAGCUAGAUGAGGAAGUAACAGAGCUGAUCGCUAGUUUACAUAUUUCAGACCCAAAGCAUUGGAUUUUCUUUAUGUGCAGCAAUAUUUCGCAAGCUGAUUCUAUACGCAUUCUUGUCACCUGUUGGGCUAUUUGGCAGGCAAGGAGGAAAGCAAUCUAUGAUGGGAUAUAUCAGAGCCCUUUAUCUACAAUGGCAAUGAUCAAUAGGCUGAUAGAAGAAUGGGAAAUUAUGGAGGGAUUUCAAAAGAAAGGGAAGUGCCAACAACAACAAAAAGUAAAAUCUAGACAUUGGUUAGCACCUGAAAAUGGACGAUGCAAAAUAAAUGCAGAUGCAGCUGUCAACCACACCGCCGGCAAAGGCACUG